Molecule: ribosomal RNA, 400 nt
Filed under: uncultured bacterium
Lineage: Bacteria
Description: bacterial SSU rRNA
Rfam family: Bacterial small subunit ribosomal RNA
Source: RNAcentral
UGGGGAAUAUUGGGCAAUGGAGGAAACUCUGACCCAGCCAUGCCGCGUGAGUGAUGAAGGCCUUAGGGUUGUAAAGCUCUUUCGUUGGUGAAGAUAAUGACGGUAACCAAAGAAGAAGCCCCGGCUAACUUCGUGCCAGCAGCCGCGGUAAUACGAAGGGGGCUAGCGUUGUUCGGAAUUACUGGGCGUAAAGCGCGCGUAGGCUGUACUGCAAGUCAGGGGUGAAAUCCCGGGGCUCAACCUCGGAAUUGCCUUUGAAACUGCAGUGCUGGAAUCUCAGAGGGGAUAGCGGAAUUCCAAAUGUAGGGGUGAAAUCCGUAGAUAUUUGGAGGAACACCGGUGGCGAAGGCGGCUAUCUGGAUGAGUAUUGACGCUGAGGCGCGAAAGCGUGGGGAUCAAA